UUUGUUAUUUCCUCCGUACCAAAUUAAUAUUUAUUUUAACUUUUCUAGAUUAUAUCUAGUUAUGCAGUAAAGCUAAAAUGAAUAUUAAUUUGGGAGGGAAGGAGGGAGUAGCUUACAAGCGGCCUGCCCAGGAUAGGUAAAGCGCACGUGAGUUGUAUAUGAGUGUAUAAGAGUAACUCCAAAAGAAUCUGUAUUCUUAGGGAGAGAAAAAAAAGAACUCCAAUAGCUCCCCAAAACUUCCCCAAGCUAUUCGCGAUGCUAAAACAGAGCCCAUCACCGUGCAUAUUUGCGCGACGUCCUUCCUCCCCCUAUCGGCCCCUUCCCGCGCGCGAGAGAGGCUUCCGGACCCCACCCUCUCCCUAGUU
RNAcentral lists this long non-coding RNA (365 nucleotides) under Setaria viridis. RNAcentral's name for it is "long non-coding RNA (SVIR_LNC003581)". Lineage: Eukaryota; Viridiplantae; Streptophyta; Magnoliopsida; Poales; Poaceae. The record is from RNAcentral.